This 76-nucleotide transfer RNA is filed under the name Serratia phage vB_SmaM-ChuuTotoro. Its description in RNAcentral is "tRNA-His". It matches the Rfam family "tRNA". From Rfam's summary of the family: Transfer RNA (tRNA) molecules are approximately 80 nucleotides in length. Lineage: Duplodnaviria; Heunggongvirae; Uroviricota; Caudoviricetes. The record is from RNAcentral. RNAcentral also lists the same sequence under 1 other name.
GUGGCCUUAGUUCAGUUGGUAGAACCUCGGAUUGUGAUUCCGAAGGUCAUGGGUUCAAGUCCCAUAGGUCACCCCA